This 465-nucleotide ribosomal RNA is filed under the name Vreelandella stevensii. Its description in RNAcentral is "partial 16S ribosomal RNA". It matches the Rfam family "Bacterial small subunit ribosomal RNA", at positions 338 to 795 of the family's 1533-position model. Lineage: Bacteria; Pseudomonadati; Pseudomonadota; Gammaproteobacteria; Oceanospirillales; Halomonadaceae. The record is from RNAcentral.
CCUACGGGCGGCUGCAGUGGGGAAUAUUGGACAAUGGGCGAAAGCCUGAUCCAGCCAUGCCGCGUGUGUGAAGAAGGCCUUCGGGUUGUAAAGCACUUUCAGUGGGGAAGAAAGCCUUGGGGCUAAUACCCUCGAGGAAGGACAUCACCCACAGAAGAAGCACCGGCUAACUCCGUGCCAGCAGCCGCGGUAAUACGGAGGGUGCGAGCGUUAAUCGGAAUUACUGGGCGUAAAGCGCGCGUAGGCGGUCUGAUAAGCCGGUUGUGAAAGCCCCGGGCUCAACCUGGGAACGGCAUCCGGAACUGUCAGGCUAGGGUGCAGGAGAGGAAGGUAGAAUUCCCGGGGUAGCGGUGAAAUGCGUAGAGAUCGGGAGGAAUACCAGUGGCGAAGGCGGCCUUCUGGACUGACACUGACGCUGAGGUGCGAAAGCGUGGGUAGCAAACAGGAUUAGAUACCCGAGUAGUC